This 493-nucleotide ribosomal RNA is filed under the name uncultured bacterium. RNAcentral's name for it is "partial 16S ribosomal RNA". It matches the Rfam family "Bacterial small subunit ribosomal RNA", at positions 29 to 523 of the family's 1533-position model. The record is from RNAcentral.
AUUGAACGCUGGCGGCAUGCUUUACACAUGCAAGUCGAACGGUAACAGGUUGAGCUGACGAGUGGCGAACGGGUGAGUAAUGCAUCGGAACGUGCCCGGCCGUGGGGGAUAACGCAGCGAAAGCUGCGCUAAUACCGCAUCCGAUCCGAGGAUGAAAGCGGGGGACCGUAAGGCCUCGCGCGAUCGGAGCGGCCGAUGUCAGAUUAGGUAGUUGGUGGGGUAAAGGCUCACCAAGCCAACGAUCUGUAGCUGGUCUGAGCGGACGACCAGCCACACUGGGACUGAGACACGGCCCAGACUCCUACGGGAGGCAGCAGUGGGGAAUUUUGGACAAUGGGCGAAAGCCUGAUCCAGCAAUGCCGCGUGCAGGAAGAAGGCCUUCGGGUUGUAAACUGCUUUUGUACGGAGCGAAAAGGUCUCCUCUAAUACAGGGGGCUCAUGACGGUACCGUAAGAAUAAGCACCGGCUAACUACGUGCCAGCCGCCGCAGUAA